RNAcentral lists this transfer RNA (75 nucleotides) under Thermodesulfobacteriota bacterium. RNAcentral describes it as "tRNA-Thr". It matches the Rfam family "tRNA". From Rfam's summary of the family: Transfer RNA (tRNA) molecules are approximately 80 nucleotides in length. Their secondary structure includes four short double-helical elements and three loops (D, anti-codon, and T loops). RNAcentral also lists the same sequence under 1 other name. The record is from RNAcentral. Lineage: Bacteria; Pseudomonadati; Thermodesulfobacteriota.
GCCUCCGUAGCUCAAUGGUAGAGCGCCUGAUUUGUAAUCAGAUGGUUGGCGGUUCAAAUCCGUCCGGGGGCUCCA